This is a long non-coding RNA of Acinonyx jubatus (cheetah), 1130 nucleotides long. RefSeq lists it as uncharacterized. The transcript is spliced from 3 exons. Lineage: Eukaryota; Metazoa; Chordata; Mammalia; Carnivora; Felidae. The record is from RefSeq and is a predicted model, not a curated record.
UUUCAACAAAAACAAAAUAAAGUAAAAACAAAGGAUAGUUAAUAUAUUUCAGACUAUUCAAUGGAAUGCUUUCCUGCUUUAUGACAUUGAGUCUUAGAUUCUUUCUCUAUUCUAGCCAAAACUCACCUUGCAUCUCUCAGAUAAAGGACUUGCCGUCUAAUGUCGACUUUGCUUAAUGGCGCUAAUCUGCUUCAUUAACAAGAAGAUCAGUCCUGCUGGCCAAAGAGGUUAAAUCAGUUUACUUUAAAUGCCAUUGCCCGAAUUUGGACCUGGUCAUGUGGAUGAGCCCAAAUCAGGUGCCCGCUUUUGUUGCCCCCAAAUGAGCAAUCUCUUGGUUGGCCUCCAACUGCCUGGAAAUUCAAAUGUUCUUCUGAAGAUUUGACACUGACUCUAGUAUCAUUUAAUAAUUUUUAUGAACACCUUAACCACAAAAUUGAGAGAAUUAAGCAAUGAAUGAUGCCAGGAUGGCCGGACUGCUAACAUCCUAGAAGAAUGAACUCAAAUUACAAGGGACGGAGCCCAAUUACAUAAACAAUCUACUCAAAACACAGAGAAGCUCAAGAGAAACUUAGAUUAAAAUUAUACAUUCUUACCUGGUUUAUUGCACCUCCUCUUUGUGAAGGAGAAUGAUAAUCAUCGUUUUUAUGACUUAUUGCCGGUGGAUUUAUUUGCUCAUGUUGGUCACAGUCAUAGUGGAUAAUAGUGUGCUUCUAUGUAAAGCACAGAUCAAACCUUCUGGUCAAAAAUUUGAAGGGCAUUCAGUUAGAGCAAAGCAAAUCAGUAUUAAGUGGUUAAAAUAGGAUGAAAUUCAGCAAAGAGUGGUAGAUAAAUACUAGUGGCCCAAACAAGAUAGCGUUUCUCACUCAUGUAAAAUCUAAAAGUGAGUUGCCCGGUACUGGGAUGGCCGCUCUGUGGUGAUGAAACCCAGACCCCUCGCGUCCUGUUGCUCCACCAACUUCAACCUGUGGCUUCUACUUACAAUCCUGGAUAUCUGCUCAAUUCCCACUCACUAGGUUUACAUUCCAGCUGAAGAAAGAAAGAAAGGAACAGAAGCACACGCCCUCCCUUUUACAUCUUUGACACGCACGCACAUUUGUGUAUGCAUGUUUGUGUGUGUGUGAGAAAACAUA